RNAcentral lists this ribosomal RNA (2921 nucleotides) under Staphylococcus argenteus. RNAcentral describes it as "bacterial LSU rRNA". It matches the Rfam family "Bacterial large subunit ribosomal RNA". Lineage: Bacteria; Bacillati; Bacillota; Bacilli; Caryophanales; Staphylococcaceae. The record is from RNAcentral.
UUAAGUUAUUAAGGGCGCACGGUGGAUGCCUUGGCACUAGAAGCCGAUGAAGGACGUUACUAACGACGAUAUGCUUUGGGGAGCUGUAAGUAAGCUUUGAUCCAGAGAUUUCCGAAUGGGGAAACCCAACAUGAGUUAUGUCAUGUUAUCGAUAUGUGAAUACAUAGCAUAUCAGAAGGCACACCCGGAGAACUGAAACAUCUUAGUACCCGGAGGAAGAGAAAGAAAAUUCGAUUCCCUUAGUAGCGGCGAGCGAAACGGGAAGAGCCCAAACCAACAAGCUUGCUUGUUGGGGUUGUAGGACACUCUAUACGGAGUUACAAAGGACGACAUUAGACGAAUCAUCUGGAAAGAUGAAUCAAAGAAGGUAAUAAUCCUGUAGUCGAAAAUGUUGUCUCUCUUGAGUGGAUCCUGAGUACGACGGAGCACGUGAAAUUCCGUCGGAAUCUGGGAGGACCAUCUCCUAAGGCUAAAUACUCUCUAGUGACCGAUAGUGAACCAGUACCGUGAGGGAAAGGUGAAAAGCACCCCGGAAGGGGAGUGAAAUAGAACCUGAAACCGUGUGCUUACAAGUAGUCAGAGCCCGUUAAUGGGUGAUGGCGUGCCUUUUGUAGAAUGAACCGGCGAGUUACGAUUUGAUGCAAGGUUAAGCAGUAAAUGUGGAGCCGUAGCGAAAGCGAGUCUGAAUAGGGCGUUUAGUAUUUGGUCGUAGACCCGAAACCAGGUGAUCUACCCUUGGUCAGGUUGAAGUUCAGGUAACACUGAAUGGAGGACCGAACCGACUUACGUUGAAAAGUGAGCGGAUGAACUGAGGGUAGCGGAGAAAUUCCAAUCGAACCUGGAGAUAGCUGGUUCUCUCCGAAAUAGCUUUAGGGCUAGCCUCAAGUGAUGAUUAUUGGAGGUAGAGCACUGUUUGGACGAGGGGCCCCUCUCGGGUUACCGAAUUCAGACAAACUCCGAAUGCCAAUUAAUUUAACUUGGGAGUCAGAACAUGGGUGAUAAGGUCCGUGUUCGAAAGGGAAACAGCCCAGACCACCAGCUAAGGUCCCAAAAUAUAUGUUAAGUGGAAAAGGAUGUGGCGUUGCCCAGACAACUAGGAUGUUGGCUUAGAAGCAGCCAUCAUUUAAAGAGUGCGUAAUAGCUCACUAGUCGAGUGACACUGCGCCGAAAAUGUACCGGGGCUAAACAUAUUACCGAAGCUGUGGAUUGUACUUUGGACAAUGGUAGGAGAGCGUUCUAAGGGCGUUGAAGCAUGAUCGUAAGGACAUGUGGAGCGCUUAGAAGUGAGAAUGCCGGUGUGAGUAGCGAAAGACGGGUGAGAAUCCCGUCUACCGAUUGACUAAGGUUUCCAGAGGAAGGCUCGUCCGCUCUGGGUUAGUCGGGUCCUAAGCUGAGGCCGACAGGCGUAGGCGAUGGAUAACAGGUUGAUAUUCCUGUACCACCUAUAAUCGUUUUAAUCGAUGGGGGGACGCAGUAGGAUAGGCGAAGCGUGCGAUUGGAUUGCACGUCUAAGCAGUAAGGCUGAGUAUUAGGCAAAUCCGGUACUCAUUAAGGCUGAGCUGUGAUGGGGAGAAGACAUUGUGUCUUCGAGUCGUUGAUUUCACACUGCCGAGAAAAGCCUCUAGAUAGAAAAUAGGUGCCCGUACCGCAAACCGACACAGGUAGUCAAGAUGAGAAUUCUAAGGUGAGCGAGCGAACUCUCGUUAAGGAACUCGGCAAAAUGACCCCGUAACUUCGGGAGAAGGGGUGCUCUUUAGGGUUAACGCCCAGAAGAGCCGCAGUGAAUAGGCCCAAGCGACUGUUUAUCAAAAACACAGGUCUCUGCUAAACCGUAAGGUGAUGUAUAGGGGCUGACGCCUGCCCGGUGCUGGAAGGUUAAGAGGAGUGGUUAGCUUCUGCGAAGCUACGAAUCGAAGCCCCAGUAAACGGCGGCCGUAACUAUAACGGUCCUAAGGUAGCGAAAUUCCUUGUCGGGUAAGUUCCGACCCGCACGAAAGGCGUAACGAUUUGGGCACUGUCUCAACGAGAGACUCGGUGAAAUCAUAGUACCUGUGAAGAUGCAGGUUACCCGCGACAGGACGGAAAGACCCCGUGGAGCUUUACUGUAGCCUGAUAUUGAAAUUCGGCACAGCUUGUACAGGAUAGGUAGGAGCCUUUGAAACGUGAGCGCUAGCUUACGUGGAGGCGCUGGUGGGAUACUACCCUAGCUGUGUUGGCUUUCUAACCCGCACCACUUAUCGUGGUGGGAGACAGUGUCAGGCGGGCAGUUUGACUGGGGCGGUCGCCUCCUAAAAGGUAACGGAGGCGCUCAAAGGUUCCCUCAGAAUGGUUGGAAAUCAUUCAUAGAGUGUAAAGGCAUAAGGGAGCUUGACUGCGAGACCUACAAGUCGAGCAGGGUCGAAAGACGGACUUAGUGAUCCGGUGGUUCCGCAUGGAAGGGCCAUCGCUCAACGGAUAAAAGCUACCCCGGGGAUAACAGGCUUAUCUCCCCCAAGAGUUCACAUCGACGGGGAGGUUUGGCACCUCGAUGUCGGCUCAUCGCAUCCUGGGGCUGUAGUCGGUCCCAAGGGUUGGGCUGUUCGCCCAUUAAAGCGGUACGCGAGCUGGGUUCAGAACGUCGUGAGACAGUUCGGUCCCUAUCCGUCGUGGGCGUAGGAAAUUUGAGAGGAGCUGUCCUUAGUACGAGAGGACCGGGAUGGACAUACCUCUGGUGUACCAGUUGUCGUGCCAACGGCAUAGCUGGGUAGCUAUGUGUGGACGGGAUAAAUGCUGAAAGCAUCUAAGCAUGAAGCCCCCCUCAAGAUGAGAUUUCCCAACUUCGGUUAUAAGAUCCCUCAAAGAUGAUGAGGUUAAUAGGUUCGAGGUGGAAGCAUGGUGACAUGUGGAGCUGACGAAUACUAAUCGAUCGAAGACUUAAUCAA